This 96-nucleotide transfer RNA is filed under the name Thermoleophilaceae bacterium. RNAcentral describes it as "tRNA-OTHER". The record is from RNAcentral. Lineage: Bacteria; Bacillati; Actinomycetota; Thermoleophilia; Thermoleophilales; Thermoleophilaceae.
GGCUUCUUGUGCGCGGGCCGCCUCGCUCCACCCCGUUUUCACUUCAGAGCACGACUCAUAAUCGUGAGGUCCCUGGUUCGAAUCCAGGCGGAGCUA